AAUUGUAAAAAUGAUGAAUGAUUUUGGCUGAAGAGUUCUUGAUGACCAUAUUCAUCACCCAAGACUGAUAAAUAUUA
Small nucleolar RNA from Drosophila grimshawi, 77 nucleotides. It matches the Rfam family "Small nucleolar RNA CD11". From Rfam's summary of the family: CD11 is a member of the C/D class of snoRNA which contain the C (UGAUGA) and D (CUGA) box motifs. Most of the members of the box C/D family function in directing site-specific 2'-O-methylation of substrate RNAs. The record is from Rfam. NCBI's taxonomy places the organism in Eukaryota, Metazoa, Arthropoda, Insecta, Diptera, Drosophilidae.